GCCUGAGUCCCAGGGAUGGCUUUCUUGGUUUGAAUGUGUAUCAGAUUAUUUCUAUUUACACAAUGUUUUUGAUUUGAAAUGUUGCUUUUCACUUUUUGAGGACGAUUUAGAACACUCAAGGGCAUACUAGGAAACGUUAUUGUAGGUGGUGCUGAGGGGAGCACGACAGGGGGGCGUAAAGGAGUUAUAUUGAUGUCAACAGAGGUGGUGGGUAUACAUAUGGUCGAAGCAUUGGAUGAUACUGUGGGGGUUGAAACGGGGGGAAAUGGCUGGG
Paramuricea clavata is the source of this 274-nucleotide non-coding RNA. NCBI's taxonomy places the organism in Eukaryota, Metazoa, Cnidaria, Anthozoa, Malacalcyonacea, Plexauridae. The record is from the annotation of a GenBank genome assembly.